Molecule: ribosomal RNA, 492 nt
Filed under: uncultured bacterium
Lineage: Bacteria
Description: partial 16S ribosomal RNA
Rfam family: Bacterial small subunit ribosomal RNA
Source: RNAcentral
AGUGAACGCUGGCGGUAGGCCUAACACAUGCAAGUCGAACGGCAGCACAGUAAGAGCUUGCUCUUACGGGUGGCGAGUGGCGGACGGGUGAGGAAUCCAUCGGAAUCUACUUUUUCGUGGGGGAUAACGUAGGGAAACUUACGCUAAUACCGCAUACGACCUACGGGUGAAAGCAGGGGAUCUUCGGACCUUGCGCGAUUGAAUGAGCCGAUGUCGGAUUAGCUAGUUGGCGGGGUAAAGGCCCACCAAGGCGACGAUCCGUAGCUGGUCUGAGAGGAUGAUCAGCCACACUGGAACUGAGACACGGUCCAGACUCCUACGGGAGGCAGCAGUGGGGAAUAUUGGACAAUGGGCGCAAGCCUGAUCCAGCCAUACCGCGUGGGUGAAGAAGGCCUUCGGGUUGUAAAGCCCUUUUGUUGGGAAAGAAAAGCAGCAGGUUAAUACCCCGCUGUUCUGACGGUACCCAAAGAAUAAGCACCGGCUAACGUCGUG